GAUGAAGAACGUAGUGAAAUGCGAUACGUAAUGUGAAUUGCAGAAUUCAGUGAAUCAUCGAGUCUUUGAACGCACAUUGCGCCCCCUGGUAUUCCGGGGGGCAUGCCUGUCCGAGCGUCAUUGCUGCCCUCAAGCACGGCUUGUGUGUUGGGCCUCCGCCCCCCGGCUCCCGGGGGGCGGGCCCGAAAGGCAGCGGCGGCACCGCGUCCGGUCCUCGAGCGUAUGGGGCUUCGUCACCCGCUCCGUAGGCCCGGCCGGCGCCCGCCGGCGACCCCCCUCAAUCUUUCCAGGUUGACCUCGGAUCAGGUAGGGAUACCCGCUGAACUUAAGCAUAUCAAUAAGGGGAGGA
RNAcentral lists this unclassified non-coding RNA (349 nucleotides) under soil metagenome. RNAcentral describes it as "partial contains 5.8S ribosomal RNA, internal transcribed spacer 2, and large subunit ribosomal RNA". The stretch from base 1 to 120 matches the Rfam family "5.8S ribosomal RNA", at positions 35 to 154 of the family's 154-position model. The record is from RNAcentral.